CCUACGGGAGGCUGCAGUGAGGAAUAUUGGUCAAUGGGCGGGAGCCUGAACCAGCCAAGCCGCGUGAAGGAUGAAGGCGCUAUGCGUCGUAAACUUCUUUUGUCGGGGAACAAAAGGCGUCACGCAUGGCGUCGUGAGUGUACCCGAAGAAAAAGCAUCGGCUAACUCCGUGCCAGCAGCCGCGGUAAUACGGAGGAUGCGAGCGUUAUCCGGAUUUAUUGGGUUUAACGGGUGCGUAGGCGGAAUAUCAAGUCAGCGGUAAAAAUUCGGGGUUCAACCCCGUAGUGCCGUUGAAACUGAUGUUCUUGAGUGGGCGAGAGGUAUGCGGAAUGCGUGGUGUAGCGGUGAAAUGCAUAGAUAUCACGAAGAACUCCGAUUGCGAAGGCAGCAUACCGGCGCCCAACUGACGCUGAAGCACGAAAGCGUGGGUAUCGAACAGGAUUAGAUACCCCUGUAGUC
This 459-nucleotide ribosomal RNA is filed under the name uncultured bacterium. Its description in RNAcentral is "partial 16S ribosomal RNA". It matches the Rfam family "Bacterial small subunit ribosomal RNA", at positions 338 to 795 of the family's 1533-position model. The record is from RNAcentral.